Molecule: long non-coding RNA, 510 nt
Organism: Cucurbita moschata (crookneck pumpkin)
Lineage: Eukaryota; Viridiplantae; Streptophyta; Magnoliopsida; Cucurbitales; Cucurbitaceae
Exons: 2
Source: RefSeq, a predicted model, not a curated record
AAAAUGAGUUCUUGACUUGCUGUUUUGCAAAUACAACCUUCAAUUUCUCCACUUCCUUCUUGAGUACCUGGUGUCUGCCUGUAGCAAGGAUGGAAUACUUCCAACCAAUCUCGCUAAAAACGACAUCUCAGAAACAAAUGACAGAAAAAAGAGAGCAACGGAAUGGAAGGAGUAUUAGAGAAACAAAGGAGGAUCGGGAAGGAGACGGGGGCCGUUCCCGAUGCCUUGUAAUUCCAGGCUGCAGGCUUUGGGAGGAUAAAAGAAAAUCCUCCUUACCACCUUAUAUUCUUUGGUAGUCUCUUUACAUCAACAUGACAUUUGGUAUUAUGAUGCAUGUCAGGAUAGUCAAAAUAUUUGUUAUUGUGAGCUAGCAUCUAAUUCACACUGUUAAAUUUUAGCAAACAAGUUAUAUAUACACGAAAACAAUUUCUCAAAAAUUGCUUGUUUGCAAGUUCCAAGCAAACCGAAUUCAAUGAGAAGAAAGAGGCAAACAAAGUUACCUUCUGAAGU